RNAcentral lists this ribosomal RNA (451 nucleotides) under uncultured organism. RNAcentral's name for it is "partial 16S ribosomal RNA". It matches the Rfam family "Bacterial small subunit ribosomal RNA", at positions 330 to 797 of the family's 1533-position model. The record is from RNAcentral.
CGUACACUCCUACGGGAGGCAGCAGUGGGGAAUAUUAGACAAUGGGCGCAAGCCUGAUCCAGCCAUGCCGCGUGAGUGAUGAAGGCCCUAGGGUUGUAAAGCUCUUUUGUGCGGGAAGAUAAUGACGGUACCGCAAGAAUAAGCCCCGGCUAACUUCGUGCCAGCAGCCGCGGUAAUACGAAGGGGGCUAGCGUUGCUCGGAAUCACUGGGCGUAAAGGGUGCGUAGGCGGGUCUUUAAGUCAGGGGUGAAAUCCUGGAGCUCAACUCCAGAACUGCCUUUGAUACUGAAGAUCUUGAGUUCGGGAGAGGUGAGUGGAACUGCGAGUGUAGAGGUGAAAUUCGUAGAUAUUCGCAAGAACACCAGUGGCGAAGGCGGCUCACUGGCCCGAUACUGACGCUGAGGCACGAAAGCGUGGGGAGCAAACAGGAUUAGAUACCCGUGUAGUCCCA